GGUUGUGGCUCCGUGGUAGAGUACUCGGCUAGUAUGCAUGAGGCCCUGAGUUUGAGCCUCAGCACCA
This 67-nucleotide transfer RNA is filed under the name Marmota monax (woodchuck). Its description in RNAcentral is "tRNA.Thr". Lineage: Eukaryota; Metazoa; Chordata; Mammalia; Rodentia; Sciuridae. The record is from RNAcentral.